GUGAGGAAUUUUCCGCAAUGGACGAAAGUCUGACGGAGCGACGCCGCGUGGGUGACGAAGGUCUUCGGAUCGUAAAGCCCUGUCAGGGGGAAAGAAACCCGUUAUCGCUAAUACCGGUGACGGUUGACGGUACCCCCAAAGGAAGCACCGGCCAACUACGUGCCAGCAGCCGCGGUAAUACGUAGGGUGCAAGCGUUAUCCGGAAUUACUGGGCGUAAAGAGCUCGUAGGCGGUUGGAUAAGUCGCAUGUUAAAGACCCAAGCUUAACUUGGGGGCUGCGUGCGAUACUGUCCGGCUAGAGAACGGGAGAGGAAUGUGGAAUUCCUGGUGUAGCGGUGAAAUGCAUAGAUAUCAGGAAGAACACCUGUGGCGAAGGCGGCAUUCUAGACCGUUUCUGACGCUGAGGAGCGAAAGCCAGGGGAGCGAACGGGAUUAGAUACCCCAGUAGUCC
RNAcentral lists this ribosomal RNA (451 nucleotides) under uncultured bacterium. RNAcentral's name for it is "bacterial SSU rRNA". It matches the Rfam family "Bacterial small subunit ribosomal RNA", at positions 354 to 796 of the family's 1533-position model. The record is from RNAcentral.